AAAUAAAAAGACCAAUCCUCACGGAUCGGUUAUUUCAAUGAGUUGAGCUUAAAUAGCUCUUCGAGGAUCUAGUGGAGGGCAGUCUGGUGCCAGCAGCCGCGGAAUUCCAGCUCCACUAGUGUAAAUCGUCAUUGCUGCGGUUAAAAAGCUCGUAGUUGGAUCUGAGUUGCAUGCGUUGGUCCUCUCUGAGGUUAAUCUUCGCUGCAACUAUUUUGCUGGUUUUCUGCAGAUAGCUUCGGCUUCUGUAGUGGCUAGCGAGAUUACUUUGAAUAAAACAGAGUGUUCAAAACAAGCGAUUGCUUGAAUGCUCGAUCAUGGAAUAAUGGAAUAGGACCUCGGUUCUAUUUAUUGGUUCAAGAAUUGAGGUAAUGAUUAAGAGAGACAAUUCGGGGCAUUCGUAUCCCUGCGCGAGAGGUGAAAUUCGUGGACCGCAGGGGACGCCCAAAAGCGAAAGCAUUUGCCAAGAAUGUCUUCAUUAAUCAAGAACGAAAGUCAGAGGUUCGAAGGCGAUUAGAUACCGCCCUAGUUCUGACCGUAAACUAUGCCAUCUAGCGAUCCGGUGGGGUUAUUCGCCUCGCCGGGGAGCUUCCCGGAAACGAAGUCUUUCGGUUCCGGGGGUAGUAUGGUUGCAAAGCUGAACUUAAAGAAAUUGACGGAAGGGCACCACCAGGAGUGGAGCCUGCGGCUUAAUUUGACUCAACACGGGAAAACUCACCCGGCCCGGACACCGUUAGGAUUGCAGAUUGAAAGCUCUUUCUCGAUUUGGUGGUUGGUGGUGCAUGGCCGUUCUUAGUUGGUGGAGCGAUUUGUCUGGUUUAUUCCGAUAACGAGCGAGACUCUAACCUACUAAAUAGUUUCACGAUUUUCGGGUCGUGUGAACUUCUUAGAGGGAUAAGCGGUGUUUAACCGCACGAGAU
RNAcentral lists this ribosomal RNA (917 nucleotides) under Oscheius sp. KY-2023. RNAcentral's name for it is "SSU rRNA". It matches the Rfam family "Eukaryotic small subunit ribosomal RNA", at positions 475 to 1444 of the family's 1831-position model. Lineage: Eukaryota; Metazoa; Nematoda; Chromadorea; Rhabditida; Rhabditidae. The record is from RNAcentral.